Molecule: long non-coding RNA, 5132 nt
Organism: Dromaius novaehollandiae (emu)
Lineage: Eukaryota; Metazoa; Chordata; Aves; Casuariiformes; Dromaiidae
Exons: 2
Source: RefSeq, a predicted model, not a curated record
AUCCCCUUGCGUUGGAGAACUGGCUAGGAUAGCUGGUAGCUAGGUGUCUGUUAGCUGCAAGCACACGUAUAACACUUGUAACUAGGUGCAUGCUACUGCACUGAAAAUGUAGCAUAGAAGUGUUGGACCUUGGCAGUUCAUGAUGGAGUUCCUGGAGCUAUAAGCAUUCUGGCAGCUUUUCCUGCUCAAAGAAGACAAAGAAGAGCCAGGUUCCUGGUGGAAAUGUCAGAUGCAAGAGGAGUGUGGCUCGUCGUGAAUCAGCUGGUUUCAGAGUGCACGAUGUGGAAUCCCUCAGCGACGGAGGGUAUGUCAGAUUGGAUGCAGCAGCAGCAAACACCACAGACACGGAGAAACUGGAAAAUGCUAGAAACGUAAGAAGUCCUUGCUUUCUUUUGGCAAAGCCUAGUGUGAAAGAAAAAAUAGCCAUUUGCAGAGGAAAUGGGAUACUGCUUUUCAGUUGGCUCUUUGCUAAUAAAAGACUGCAAGAUUGUUUGCCUCUUCAAAGGUCAUUUUUGUUCGGACUGUGAAGCAGAGCACUAACAGAGGAGCUUCAAAAGCAAAGAGAACCUGAAGUCAAAUUACUCAAAGAAGCAAAAGCAGAGCAAAAUUUGAAGUCAGGAAGUGGUUAGGCAAGACCGAAUAAAAACAAAACAGGAAGAAAGGAAAAUCCUUAUUAUGAUCCACAGUAAUGCAGCUAAGACUGAGUUAUUCCUGUGAAUAAUGGCUCUGAGAGUUAUUAAUAAUUGGAGUAAGACAAGAUAAUAGAAAAUAGACUGUACAGUACAUCCUUGGAGUGGCAAAAGAGGGCUAUCUAUCUUCAUAUUUCUUAUAUUUCAUAUAGUUUUGAAUCAUGUCAGAAGCCUGCAGCAGACUUUUAUUUUACCAAGAAAACAACCUUCCAGUACCAGUGUCAAGAGAAUGAGAUAUGUGUGUUGGACCAGUCAGGUAUGUGGGGAAGAUAACGGGCAAGGAGGAGACAUGGUAAACGAGAACGUCUCUGAAACAGUGUUAAAGAGUGAGGAAAGGAGCAGAUAAUCGAUUGUGCUGAUCUCCCUAGGUACGUUGCAAGCACUGAGGAAGGAUGAGAAAAGGAGGCCCCAGAUGGGGAAGGGUGUGAGGUUAGCAGACAGAAGAGUGGAGCUGGAAAUACAGGUGAACGGUGAGAAAGCCAUAAAGGGCCGAGGUAAAGUGGGAACUGAACUAACAGAGGCAGAGAUGACCUUCUGAGGAAGCAAGGAAGCUAGAAACUGUGAGAAAGAACAGAAAAAACACUCCACAUUGGGUGUUUGCAUGGGAAAAAAAACACCUCUCUAAUACACCUGAAGACCUGAGCAGAGGAAAAAGGCCAGUGACAGGGAGAAACACCAUGUGUAAAAACAUACAUUUGAAGUUAAUAGCUCAUAAUUUUGAAGAGCUCAACAAAGCCAGUUUCUGAAAGAAUGAAGAGAGCAUUGGAGUCAGUCUGCAACAAAACAGAAUCUGGUGGGGUUGGUUUCCUCGUGGUGAUGCUACCAAGCCAAGAUGUUUCUCCUUGUCUCCUCUUGAUCUUGCUACCCUAUCUGUAACCCAGCUGUGUCCAGAGGUUCUUCCUUCCUUUUAAAAGGCUCACUUCAGAGGGCCUCGAGCUUGACCUAUUUUUUAAGUAUCUUGUACCAAUGGCAAAUUUUGUAUAACUGGGGGAUCUUUUUCUUUCCCUGAAUAAAUGCGUUAGUGCUAUAUUUCUUACUGUUUAGUGCCUGCAGCCUUACAUAUGUGAGAAACCGCAGACAUUUUCCCUUUGGGAGGAAAAAUCACUCAAGUCUAUUAGCUGAAGGAGAAAAAUAGCAGCACACCAAAUGUUGAGGCAAAGACUUGGAUUGCUCUCUCCUUCAAGUGGGAAUCCAGAGGCAGCCCUCCAAACUGAUUUGUACAGAAGGGCUCCUGUUCUCACAGAAGUGACCUUUCAGAACAGGGGAGGCAGCUCAGCACAAAGACCCCCAGACUGUGACACAUGGUACCUGCUAGAGCAAUCCCAAGAGUAUACUGAAUUCAGCCAGACCAUGCAGAUGAAGUCAUAGUUUAUAAUUACUGCCAGAGAUUGCAUCCUCUGUCCUCACUGUCAUACCCGCCUGUCAUCCCUCUGUCCUCCUACACUUGCUCUGAGAGGUUACACUGCCAGGUAAACUUACCUUUAAGUGUUAGAACCAUGGAAAUGAUUAACAUAUGACAGAAAUAAAGCCCACCUCUUUGAAAUAAAUCAUAAAAGUAUGUUUCUCCAGACAAAUGCUAUUUAAAAAUACAACACAUCAGCUUCUCUGGCCAUUAGAAAAGAUCUUGUCGUUUCUGUUUUCCUGAAUACAGUUCCUUCCCUUUUUUGCUAUCAUUGUACAGCACCAUGCUUUCUGCCAUAACACUAUUUUGUAUACAGAUGUUCUAUAUCCACAUCCCCUGACAGCAGCAUCAGUGCUAUUUCAAAGUUAUCACAAUGGCACAGCAGCCAACUGCUAUAGAUCCAGCAAAAAUGAUAAUUUUGCAUAUUUUGCUCUGCUUCUUCACUUACACUACUGUCUUAUUGAAAGCACACAGUGAAAAAUGCCUGAAGAAUAACAGAAUGCGGAAUGCUGAAUAAUUACAUGUUUCUCAGAACAUGUAGUUAGAGGAGAUGUUCUAUUUAAGAACAAUGUGUAGAUAAACACUAUGACAGUUUCUUUUCCAGAGCCUUGCAAAAAAUUAGAAGAGAACACCCUCCAAAACCAGACUAUUGGGUGAGCACGAGGCAAUCCUUUUUCUUAGAUGCAUAAAGUUUGUUACAAGAUUAUGAACUCAGACAAAACAAGCACAAAGUUAUCUUUUUGGUGAAAGCCUCAGCAAGAAUUGCUGAUUCAAGACGUACCAAAGACAUUCAUCUAGAGAUAAGCCCUAAAUAUUUCAAGGACAAAAGAAAACCACAAUCUAGAGAGGUUUCAUGCUUAUUACAGUGGUGCCAAUCUUCCUAGGAAAUUAAAAUAAAAUUUCUAUAUGCAUCAUUACUUUGUGUACAGUGUAUGGGCUUAAUACUAACUGGUUUCAGAUGGAGCAGAACAAGAGCAAUGCUAAGGGCUUUGAGCAAAAGCUCUGUGGGAUUUGCCAGAGACAGAAGACACCCUUAGCAAUCUAACGACAGGACUGACAGUCACAAAAGCUGGCCGUAAGCCACAGCUUUGCCAUUGUAAUCAGUGUGUGGCCACAUGCAAGUCAUUUUAUGUCUUUGUGGUGGAGUUUGUUGCAGGGAGAACUGGUACUGUACUGCUUGCCGCUGUCCUGGGGUUCUCAGUGGUCUGGUACAAGAACAAAAACAUCUUAUUAUAAAACACUUUGACUGAUGAGCUCAGAUUUUACUGACAAAUUAAGAAAAGUUUGACUUCCUUCAUCCAGUUUUGCUCAUUAGUUUCUUUACUAUAUAUUAAUACUUCCCUUCUCCCAUGCAGCAUGAAACUAAUUUAACUGGUAUUGUUUUCAGUGGAAGUGGGAUUAGAGCCUUUGUAGAAGUGUUGGCAGUAUUGUGGAAACACUGGAAACUCUCAUGGAAACUUUAUUCACAGAGGGUAUGAGAAGCAGAAAAAGUUAGUCAUUUUAAAAGCCAUACAAUCUGUAAGGUGUGUGGUUACUUCUGGCAGUGAGAAGUGAGAUUCUUCAACAGACCUAAUGAACGAUGUCAAAUUCUAUGUAUAAAUAUUUAAUGGGCUUGAACUGCCCAGGAGUAUGUUAUUGCAGGUUGUCUGGCUUUUGAGGCACGUGUAAUCUGAUCAGACACUGACUGCACUGCUAAUACAGCACUCAGUAUAUGACACAGGUGUCAGCUGCCUCUCGAGGGAUCUCUCUUCAGGAAUAAAUCGUAGGUGGCAUUAUGGCUCACAAACAGGGGAAAGCACCCAGAUAAGACCUGUUAAGGGAAAGAUCAUUUUCAUUUCAGAUUUUCCAGUUCAAGUGCACCCACACAGAGCUUGAAUUUAGCAGGGACUUCUCAUGCUGUGACCGUCACUUUAGGUUCCAGCUCCAGCCAGCAGGUUACUUGGGCUGCUUUACAAGUGCAGUUGUUCAGUUUACAAUACAGGCACAUAUCCUCAACCGAUAUAAGUUGUUACCACUGAAGAAAGAGGGUACUUUAUAAAUAGCUUAGGGUCUGCUCACUGGCAUUUACUGUAGAGUUGCAGAGACAUUUUCCAAUAAGAUUUUACCAUUUUCAGGGAGUUCACUGGCUGUAAAUUUUGACAAUGUCCCUUUAAAGCAUGUGAAUGGUUUAUAGGGCCUUUUCUCCUCUCCAGGUCUUCAGGGUGUUUAGCAAGUUCAAUACCAGGAUAUAUCACUUGAAAAAUAAGGAUAAAACUAGUAAUAUCUGCCUGCAGCUUUAUCCAGCCACCUCUCUCCUAUUUCACCGUUGUUUUCUCUAAAAUUAGCCUGGAAACAUAGGAAGACUAAAUGCCUAGUGUAACAUUAUCAAAACAAUAACCCUUCCCCUCACAAAAAUCACCAAUGUUUCAAACUCAGAUGUGCUGAUCAGUAGAAGAAAACUAAUGCUGCAUCAUGCUGAGAUUUUAAUGGAAAUUAAACUAACCUUGUUUUGUUAUUAAAGGAGUCAAUAUUUUUAGUACGUCUGAUGAAUCAACAGUAGUAGUCUGUCUGGUGGAGAAUAUCAGUAGGGGUACAGUUGUUUCAAAGGGGAUUUUCUUCAGGAUGGAUCAUCUAAAAGCCUAUAUCCAUCAUAGUUCCCAUUUAUUCCCUUCUCCUUAAAGGCUUUACUGUGUUUACAUGCAGCAUUUUGCCUGAUGGCUUGGUUACAGGAGCUGCUAACAGUUUUACAUACUCAUCUUUAAAAGUUAGAGGCACAUUAAAGGGACUGAGCUUCAGUUGCUGCUUUCUGUAAGCCUCCUCUAAACUACUCUAGCUGUAGAAUGAAGUCUUUUCAUAAAUGAGAAUCAACCUCAUUGUUCUGACAAACUGCAGCAGCAUUUCUAAAGCGGUCAAUGCUUUAUACUGAAAAAAGUAACAUUGCAUUUCUCUAGAGGACUGAUAACAGCAUAAGUGAGAAGAAAUACAUAAAAAUCUCUGCUGGUCUAAACUGAUGUGGCACUAUGUAGUUUACCUGAUGAAAUAAAUUUAUUUUCUGCAUAUCA